Molecule: ribosomal RNA, 253 nt
Filed under: uncultured bacterium
Lineage: Bacteria
Description: partial 16S ribosomal RNA
Rfam family: Bacterial small subunit ribosomal RNA
Source: RNAcentral
UACAGAGGUCUCAAGCGUUGUUCGGAUUCAUUGGGCGUAAAGGGCGCGUAGGCGGUGAAGUAAGUCUGGUGUGAAAUCUAGGAGCUUAACUCCUAAACUGCACUGGAUACUGUUUUGCUUGAGGACUGGAGAGGAGAUUGGAAUUCACGGUGUAGCAGUGAAAUGCGUAGAUAUCGUGAGGAAGACCAGUGGCGAAGGCGGAUCUCUGGACAGUUCCUGACGCUGAGGCGCGAAGGCCAGGGGAGCAAAUGGG